UACUCUGCCAAUUUGGUGUGGUGUGUUCGCCCAGACUUACUCCACCAUGUGGAAGGUUUCCUUUAAGAUUACGCUGACGUCAGACCCACGGUUGCCUUAUAAAGUAGUUAGUGUUCCUGAGAGUACACCUUUUACAGCAGUCUUAAAAUUUGCAGCAGAAGAAUUUAAAGUUCCUGCAGCAACAGUGCAGUUAUUACUAAUGAUGGAAUAGGAAUAAAUCCUGCACAGACUGCUGGAAAUGUUUUUCUU
This 249-nucleotide long non-coding RNA is filed under the name Marmota monax (woodchuck). Lineage: Eukaryota; Metazoa; Chordata; Mammalia; Rodentia; Sciuridae. The record is from RNAcentral.